GGGCGCUUAGCUCAGCGGUAGAGCACCGUCUUCACACGGCGGGGGUCGGUGGUUCGAUCCCACCAGCGCCCACCA
Molecule: transfer RNA, 75 nt
Filed under: Thermus antranikianii
Lineage: Bacteria; Thermotogati; Deinococcota; Deinococci; Thermales; Thermaceae
Also listed under: 3 other names
Description: tRNA-Val
Rfam family: tRNA
About the family: Transfer RNA (tRNA) molecules are approximately 80 nucleotides in length.
Source: RNAcentral